UUCAGUCUUCCUCCCCAAAGUGCUUCGAUUCCUUCUCCAGUUCGUCGCCUCCAGUCCUCCUCCUCUAAACUCUAGCAGAGCUCGGCUUCUCCACUUCAAGUCUCAGAGAUCAAGAGUUCAAGACAUCAAUUUCGUUUAAUUGAAUGUUGUAUUGGAUUGAUGAUUUCAUGGAUUGAAGAAUGAAGGUUGUCUCUUGGUCUGGAAAUCUGGUCAGUGCCUCAGUGGGUUUACUUAAAAUUGUGCAAUUGAGUUUCUGCAGCAAAUAUGGCAUUCUGCUGUGCAAAUGUGCAAUUGAGUGAUUUGAGUCUACUGCUUUCUGAGGUGUUAGAGUAAAAUGUCAAAUCAUGAGCCAAAAGCGAAGCGAUCAAAAUUCAUUGACUCAUGGUUUAAAAGAACAAAUGUUGAGUCUUCAAGUUCAAAUGGCGUAUUGCUUCCCUUGUUUUCUAUUUGACACUGAAGAUUCUCAGCAUACAGCAUUCACCGUUGAUGGGUUUAAGGCUUGGAAGAGGGUUUGUGGUAGUGAUAAUGUGUUGAUGAAGCAUGUAGGAGGCCUUAAUUCUCCCCAUCAUGCUGCAAUGCAAAAAUGGGAUUUAUUAAGAA
This 600-nucleotide long non-coding RNA is filed under the name Rosa chinensis. Its description in RNAcentral is "sRNA RchiOBHm_Chr2g0105941". Lineage: Eukaryota; Viridiplantae; Streptophyta; Magnoliopsida; Rosales; Rosaceae. The record is from RNAcentral.